Molecule: ribosomal RNA, 424 nt
Filed under: uncultured bacterium
Lineage: Bacteria
Description: bacterial SSU rRNA
Rfam family: Bacterial small subunit ribosomal RNA
Source: RNAcentral
UAAGGAAUAUUGGACAAUGGCCGCAAGGCUGAUCCAGCCAUCCAGCGUGCAGGAAGAAGGCCCUAUGGGUUGUAAACUGCUUUUAUCAGGGAAGAAACCCUUGGAUUUACUCCGAGGCUGACGGUACCUGAAGAAUAAGCACCGGCUAACUCCGUGCCAGCAGCCGCGGUAAUACGGAGGGUGCGAGCGUUAUCCGGAAUUACUGGGUUUAAAGGGUGCGUAGGCGGCUUUGUAAGUCAGGAGUGAAAGUUUGCGGCUCAACCGUAAAAUUGCUUUUGAUACUGCGAGGCUAGAAUUAGGAUGAGGUCAGCGGAAUGUGGCAUGUAGCGGUGAAAUGCAUAGAUAUGCCAUAGAACACCAAUUGCGAAGGCAGCUGGCUAGACCUGGAUUGACGCUGAGGCACGAAAGCGUGGGGAGCGAACAG